AUACGGAGGGUGCAAGCGUUAUCCGGAUUUACUGGGUUUAAAGGGUGCGCAGGCGGUAAUUUAAGUCAGUGGUGAAAGCCUACAGCUCAACUGUAGAACUGCCAUUGAAACUGAAUUACUUGAGUGUGAUAGAGGUAGGCGGAAUACAACAUGUAGCGGUGAAAUGCAUAGAUAUGUUGUAGAACACCGAUUGCGAAGGCAGCUUACUAAACCAUUACUGACGCUCAGGCACGAAAGCGUGGGGAGCGAACAGAAUUAGAAACCCUAGUAGUCC
This 274-nucleotide ribosomal RNA is filed under the name uncultured bacterium. Its description in RNAcentral is "partial 16S ribosomal RNA". It matches the Rfam family "Bacterial small subunit ribosomal RNA", at positions 523 to 796 of the family's 1533-position model. The record is from RNAcentral.